Cucurbita moschata (crookneck pumpkin) is the source of this 402-nucleotide long non-coding RNA. RefSeq lists it as uncharacterized. The transcript has 3 exons. The record is from RefSeq and is a predicted model, not a curated record. Lineage: Eukaryota; Viridiplantae; Streptophyta; Magnoliopsida; Cucurbitales; Cucurbitaceae.
ACCUGGCUUGGAGGCUAAGUCUCUCAACGUCAGGUCCAUACACCGAGGAUUUGUCGAUCAGGUCAAGAUCGGCGGUCAACGACUUUCCGGUAGGGUCAACACGCCCCGAUCUAACUCGGUAUCCAUAUCCGACGGCCGAGUUUUCUCUCUGCUCGCCGGCGGCGAACGGGAGAGAUGCAGUUAGACGAAAGAAGCAAGUGAAAAGGAAGAGUACGACGGCGGAGAGUAAACGACGGCGACGGAGAAAAGCUUGGAGAGAUUUGGAACCAGUCGCCAUUCUUGUCGAGCUGUAAGAGAAUAUGAAUAAAAGACGUGUGUCCGUGCAUCCACUCGAAAAUACCUGCCUAUAGGAUGGUAUUGCCUCUCUAAGAAGUUCGUGAGGUGCCGCUAUAGCUAAAUAAG